Molecule: long non-coding RNA, 1932 nt
Organism: Papaver somniferum (opium poppy)
Lineage: Eukaryota; Viridiplantae; Streptophyta; Magnoliopsida; Ranunculales; Papaveraceae
Exons: 10
Source: RefSeq, a predicted model, not a curated record
UGUAAGGAUCUGUUGCUGAAAUUUUGAUCUAAUCUUAAAUCUAAUUUGUUCUCUUUGCUAGGGCUUCGAUUUUCUUUCACAGAGAACACAAAUCAAAGUUGGAGCAGUGGAGUUUUACGGAUCGAGAUUUGUUACUUGACAAGCUUUCAACCGGUUAAUUGUUUGUUGGAUUUGAACCAUCUUUUGAUUCUUAAAACUCUGGUUUGUUCGAUUGGAACCAUCUCCUGCUUCAUCGUCUUUUCAUGGUGGUGUUUGUCUUCAAAAUUAUGUUCAUUUUGAUAUAUUUUUGACGUUUAUUAUAUUGUAAUUAUUCAUAAUAGCUUUUACAGAUUUGAUUCUUUUGAUUUCUUAUUUCACUAGUUGGAUUCUCAUUUUAACAAUUGAUUGAGAGAAAUGAUUUAGUAGGAGACGGUUCAAAGAAUUUGAAGUGAGUUAUUUUUAUUGUUUUUUGAGAAAUCAUCUUAAGAGUGAAUGGAUGUGGUCUAAAAGUGGGAUUUUAAAUACUACAAUGGUGUCUUGCUGUUUUUUGUUGUGAACAAUUUCUUAGAUGGUUUGAUUUUACAACAUGUGGUUUUGUGGAAUCGUAGAUUGGUGAUGCCAAUACAUUCAUUUAUGAUGGUAAUUAAAUCCAUAUGAGAUGUGAAUUCGUGGUGAGCUAUCACUGCAUGGUAUGAGAAAUUUUAGAAAUUUUCUGGUGUGGAGAAAGUUUCUGGUUAAAAUACUUGCAAAGGAUGUGAAUUCGUGGUGAGCUAUCAAUGCAUGUUAUUGGCAUAAUGCAAAAUGAGGUUUGGGACAAAGCCAAAAGGAUUCUGUUGGAGUGGUGGCUUUACGAUUGGCCCUUGGAGCAGAAACAGCUCCCAAGAGUUCAUGUUGCAGGGUGCGCUUGUUGAAUGAAUCAGAGAAGUUAAGGUUCCUCUACAACAGGCUAUUGCGACACUUUUUUGCCGUCCCAAUAGGGCAUCAUUUUUUUAGUGAUUAUGAAGUGGUAUUCGUUAAUGAAUCAUUUGGAAUUUGUAAUUUUCAGGUGUCUGUGUUUGAGGCAGCUGUGAAGCAUGGGAACAAGGUUCAGAAGAUAUGACGACUUGAUUUCAUUUUUCACUACUUGUCUCUUUCUGCGUUUGGUUUGUUUGGAUAUAAGCAACAUUAACAUUUUACUAAAGUUCACAGUUGAGUUUGUUUUUUAGUUCGCUUAUCUUCAGUCUUGUUCUACAAACAAAGCUGUGGUGAUUUUGGUGCUGGAGGUACAAGUUUUGGAGGAUGAGAAGGUAGUGGUGGUGGCCAGCAGCGGUUCAUGUGUGUCUGUUGAAAGUAUUGAGAUUCUUUCCAGUUUAAACAUCCCCUGGGUUAUUCUCAACCUCUUUGAAAGCAGUGCUUUGCUAAAUGAAUCAAAUGAGAGCCAAGAAAGCAUAGGCAGUGAAACUGAUGGUGGUUGCAAUUGAAGUUGCAGAAUGGACUUAGUGGUAAGAUUAGAUGUAUGCUGAGGUCUGUCUCUCUAAAUCUGAGGUCAUUGCACCUUAUUCUGCUUCCAGGUGGCACACAACAGGCAAUAUACAAAAGAGACUCUUAUAAGGAAAAGAGCAUUCUUAUUGUUUUCAGUUCUUCUACCACAAAGUUUACACAAGAUGUGCACAUGAGAUAUGAAGACGUUGAGGUGAAACUUUAUUUCAAGCAGUGAGAGUAUGAGAUGCAAGCAAUGCUGAGCUUCGAUACUCGUGUUGUUGGAAGUAUACUGCGAAGACAUUGAGGCGUUUUUUUGGACAGUUCAUGUGUUGGCUUAUGGAGUAUCUACCUUAAACAGUGCAGUUGCUUGUAAGAAAUGCCAAAAGGAACCGCAGUCAUGGUUUGCUUAUUUGUGGUAUUGGUCUCGCUGGAACUGGAGUUGACGCUGAAUACACAAGUCAGAUGCAUGUGUAACUCUCAAUUACACUAGAU